Molecule: long non-coding RNA, 3550 nt
Organism: Oncorhynchus nerka (sockeye salmon)
Lineage: Eukaryota; Metazoa; Chordata; Actinopteri; Salmoniformes; Salmonidae
Exons: 4
Source: RefSeq, a predicted model, not a curated record
CUCACAGCCCACCUACCAGUAGCUCACAGCCCACCUACCAGUAGCUCACAGCCCACCUACCAGUAGCUCACAGUCCACCUACCUUCAUGAACCAACAUCCAUGAGGAACGUUUUUGACUUGAAGAAUCCAUGCCCCAAAGAUAUCAGGCUGUUCUGGAGACAAAGGGGUGUCCGAUCCGGUGCUAGAUGGGUGUACCUAAUAAACUGUCUGGUGAAUGUAUAAUCAGGGCCAUGAGUUAUACCUGUACAGGAACAACUCCUGAUUCAGGCUAUUUAGUGUAGCUAGCUCUUCAAAGCGGUACAAAACACGUUUAAGUUGUGUUUUGUUCAUGUUCAAACAAGGAAGACCAAGUCAUGUUUUUUAAAAGGGGUAAUCUGCAGUUCGGACAAUAACAAAGCCGCCACUGAUUUGGUAAACAACUGAGGAAUGGGGAUGGAGAAAUUGAACCACUCUCAAAUUGCUAGAUCAACUAUGGAUACAAGGACUGACCACUCAUGAUAUAACAAUUAUAGUUUUAACCAUGUUUUGAGGCAAUAAAGAGUUUUUUUACUUGUGCUUUGUUAACAAACAUUUUAGUAGUGUAGUCUGGAAACUCCACUUUAGUCUGGGGUUCUUUCCUGUCUAAGAAAAAAAACCUUGGUGAAAGUGAAAUGACUGUGGCUUUGUCCUCCCUCAGCUCCCAUAUUAGGACUGUCGGGGAUCUGUCCGAGAGAGAGAAGAGAAAGAGAAAGAGAGAGAGAUGGAGAGACAGACAGAGAGAGAGAGAGAGAGAGAGAGAGAGAGAGAGAGAGAGAGAGAGAGAGAGAGAGAGAGAGAGAGAGGGUGUUGCAUUCUUCAAGUAGGUUAGUGGUUGUGAAAGGGGGUAUCCACCGUCUCCACCCAAUCUCUUCUCCCCCAGUUAUUUUCUGGGACACUGCACAAUACAACUUUAUUUGAUGGCAGAACAUUCAGAGGCUGUGAGCUUGACACAUGGCAAAAUGCUUCUGCUGUUUCUGAGUCUCGGUUUGCUCACUUCUAAUGUCCAGUCAGAAAAACAAGGGGUUAAUGUAACGUGUGAAAAUCAAUCGGUUGUAGCAGGACAGAACCACAACCUGACAUGUAGAGUGGAAUACAGUGAUGUAGGUCAGAAUAAUCUGGGAUGUAAAACUACAAAUUAUUUCUGGAAACAUAAAUCAAAAUCUCCAAUACGAAAUUGUGAUUGUACAAAGGAUUGUAACACUACGAUAACAACCAACACCUACUUUUGUGAGAUCAAAUAUGUUACCAAAGCUGAUGAGGGAAACUACACUUUUACCAUUAACACAGACUGUGGCAACGGACAUGGCACAUUGAAUGUUUCCGUUACAUUGAGACAUAAGAAACCAGAGCUGUUCAAAGGGGGAUCGUCAGGUCACAUAUCGUCAUUAUCAUCACUGUUCUGGGUGUUCUACUGUUUCUCAUCACUUCUGGUUAUGGCAGAAGAUUGAUGGGUCGACUUAAGUUCCUUGAGAAAAAUGACAACACUGACCAGAGCCCUGAAGCUACCAGAAAGGCUCUAAACCUGGAGCCUGGAUAACAUUCAGUUCAUGGAGGAGCCGUGUGUGUGUGUGUGUGUGUGUGUGUGUGUGUUAAUUAUUCUAUCCUUGUGGAGACAUCCCACAUCCUCAUGAAGAGACAGGCUAUUUUAAGCUUAGGUUUAGGGUUACAAUUAGGGUUAGGAGUUAGGUUUGGGUUAGUGUCAGGGGUUAAAAUUAGGGUUAUGGUAAGGGUUAGGAGUUAGGUUUGGGUUAGUGUCAGGGGUUAAAGUUAGGGUAAGGGUUAGGAGUUAGGUUUGGGUUAGUGUUAGGGGUUAAAGUUAGGGUUAUGGUAAGGGUUAGGAGUUAGGUUUGGGUUAGUGUCAGGGGUUAAAGUUAGGGUAAGGGUUAGGAGUUAGGUUUGGGUUAGUGUUAGGGGUUAAAGUUAGGGUUAUGGUAAGGGUUAGGAGUUAGGUUUGGGUUAGUGUUAGGGGUAAAGUUAGGGUAAGGCUUAGGAGUUAGGUUUGGGUUAGUGUUAGGGGUUAAAGUUAGGGUUAGGAGUUAGGUUUGGGUUGGUGUUAGGGGUAAAGUUAGGGUUAGGCUUAGGAGUUAGGUUUGGGUUAGUGUUAGGGGUUAAAGUUAGGGUUAUGGUAAGGGUUAGGAGUUAGGUUUGGAUUAGUGUUAGGGGUUAAAGUUAGGGUUAUGGUAAGGGUUAGGAGUUAGGUUUGGGUUAGUGUUAGGGGUUCAAGUUAUGGUAAGGGUUAGGAGUUAGGUUUGGGUUAGUGUUAGGGGUUCAAGUUAUGGUAAGGGUUAGGAGUUAGGUUUGGGUUAGUGUUAGGGGUUAAAGUUAUGGUAAGGGUUAGGAGUUAGGGUUGGGUUAGUGUUAUGGGUUAAAGUUAGGGUUAUGGAAAAUAUGACUUUGAAUGUAAAUAAAUGUUAGUUCCCCACAAGGAUAAAAUAAUUUGUGUGUGGCUUGUUAGUAGUGGUUCAAAAAAAAUAUGUUUUACUCUGUACAGGCUUCCAUCUUUUCACUCUGUCAAUUAUUAUUAUUUAUAUAGCUUUAUUUAACUAGGCAGGUCAGUUAAGAGCUAAUUUUGAUUUACAAUGACAAUCUACCGGGGAACACUGGGUUAACUGCCUUGUUCAGGUGCAGAAUGACAGAUGUUUACUUUGUCAGCUCAGGGAUUCAAUCCAGGAACCUAUUGGUUAAUGGCACAACACUCUAACCACUAGGCAACCUGCCGCCCCAUCAAACUAGUCAAGGUUAGUAUUGUGGAGUAACUACAAUGUUGUUGAUCCAUCCUCAGUGUUCUCCUAUCACAGCCAUUAAACUCUGUAACUGUUUUAAAGUCACCAUUGGCCUCAUUGUGAAAUCCAUGAGCGGCUUCCUUCCUGUCUGACAACUGAGUUAGGAAGGACACCUGUAUCUUUGUAGUGACAGGAUGUAUUGAUACACCACCCGAAGUUAAGUUAGUAACUCCACCAAGCUCAAAGGAAUAUUCAAUGUCUGCUUUUAGUUUUACCCAUCUACCAAUAGGUUCCCUUUACAAGGCAUUUGGAAAACCUCCCUGGUCUUUGUCCUUGGAUCUGUGUUUGAAAUUCCCUGCUCGUCCGAGAGACCUUACAGAUGAUUGUAUGUGUGGGGUACAGAGAUCAUGUUAAAACACUAUUAUUGCACACAGAGUGAGUCCAUGCAAUGUAUUAUGUGAUUUGUUAAGCAAAUGUUUACUCAUGAACUUAUUUAGACUUGUCAUAACAAAGGGGUUGAACACUUUUUUACUCAAGACAUUUAAGAUGUUUAUUUUUUACAUUAUUUGUAAAACCUUUGAAAAACUUAAUUCCACUUUGUCAUUAAGGGCUAUUGUGUGUGGACCAGUGAUCCAAACAUCUCAGUUGAAUCUAUUUUUCAAUAAAUAAAUCAACAACAUUAUGCAUGCUCUACUGCAUGUUGAUGUUUGUGAAUUGUUUCUAAAAAUCUGUGUUUUUGCCAGAACAUCAAGUGAUUUAUUGAUUAAUCUUAUGCUGCACAAAGAUCAAUAAAAAAUGCCUAAACUAA